RNAcentral lists this transfer RNA (71 nucleotides) under Rachycentron canadum (cobia). RNAcentral describes it as "tRNA-Pro". The record is from RNAcentral. Lineage: Eukaryota; Metazoa; Chordata; Actinopteri; Carangiformes; Rachycentridae.
UCAGAGAGAAAGGAUUUUAACCUGUACCUCUGGCUCCCAAAGCCAGAAUUCUAACAUUAAACUACUCUCUG